Non-coding RNA from Frankia sp., 76 nucleotides. Lineage: Bacteria; Bacillati; Actinomycetota; Actinomycetes; Frankiales; Frankiaceae. The record is from Rfam.
ACGAGCCGGAUGACGCGAGAGUGUCACGUCCGGAUCUGUGGGGGCCGGCGGGUGAAACUCCCGCCGGCUAMCCGGC